Onychostoma macrolepis is the source of this 1592-nucleotide long non-coding RNA. RefSeq lists it as uncharacterized. The transcript is spliced from 5 exons. The record is from RefSeq and is a predicted model, not a curated record. Lineage: Eukaryota; Metazoa; Chordata; Actinopteri; Cypriniformes; Cyprinidae.
CAAGCCGACGGUCGGCCGUCGUGAGUGUCUGUCGGGUUAGUUUGUUUGGUGUGUUCCACUCGUCGGCUCUCAUCGGUCUCACGUUGGUGGAAGUUUUCCCGAUUUGACAUGUUUAAUUGGCAUCGGAGCCUUCAGGACUGUCGGCGACAGGGAGAGCUGGAUGUUCAGUUUAGCGAACGAGUCAGUGCAGGAGUAUCAAAGCGAAAGUGAUGAAAAUGGGCAAGUAAAUUGAAGGCGACACAGACAGAAGGCUGUUUUUUGACGUUACAUGAUCUUACCCAAGCAUUUUAAUAUGCGAAUGUUUUCAUAACAACAUGAGCCGCUUAAAAUAAUGAAAGUUAUCUACAUUACUGAUAUUCAAAAUGGUCUGAUCCGGUUUUUCCUCCCUUCUGUUUCAUUGGCUUCAAGCUGGAAGAGAAAUAACAGCAAUCAACUCUGAGAAGGGGAUAAAAGUCACGCAGGUUUGGAACAACAUAAGACUGCUUGGACUCUCAUUCUGACGGCACCCAUUUACUGCAGAGGAUCCAUCAGUGAGAAAGUGAUCUAAAUCUGUUCCCGUGAAGAAAUAAACUCAUUGACAUUCUAGAUGGCCUGAGACCUCUCAGCAAGAAGACAUCAUCUUCAGAUGACACCUAGGCUAUGUAACGAAUAAAAAAACCACAGGAGACACCCAUUACUGCAGGUAACACGCAAACGCUAUUUACAAGUGACAUCAAUAAAAAAAGGGGGGGAAGAGGGAAAAAAGAAAAAAAUUGAAAAAAGAAGGAAAAAAAGAGAAAGAAAAAUGAAAUGGAUAAAAACAAAAAAGAAAAUAAAAAAGUGAAGGAAGGCAAGAAAAAAAGAAACAAAAAACAAGAGAAAGAAAAGGAAAAAAAGAGAAAGAAAAGGAAAAGGAAAAAAAAAAUUUACAGAUUGUCCAAUUAUUUGAUUAAAACACAGUUAAGACAAUAAUGUUAUGAUAUCUUACAAUAACAUUUUUUAUUUAAAUCUAUUUUUAAAAUGUAAUUUAUUCCAGUAAUAGCAAAGCAGAAUUUCAGCAGCCAUAUCCCAGUCUUCAGUGUCAAUGGAAUCACUUUAGGUCUGAGGCAGACUUGAUUCAACAGGCGGACCAAACCGUUCAUGACAACCGCUCUAGUGACGCAAAGGCAAUAAAGUGGCACAAAGUGUUGCAAGAACUAAUGUGUUCUGUAAAUCAUGACCUUUGUGUGUAGGUGUGUUGAGAACUGACAGUCCCAGUAAUAAACUACAGCCGGGUUUGCUUGUUCAUCCGCUGCUACUUCACUCGCCUCCAAUUCAUCAAGCUGAUUACAGUAACCACAGUGGAGUAAGUCAAUAACCUCACAGGAGGUCCAUCAAUACCUUUACUCCACUUUAAUCUCGCCAGACUGGAGAGAGAGAGCAGGAAAAAAGUGGAGCAAAAGAAAAAAACAUUUAAUUAUAGACUGGUUAGUGUCAAAAAGUGCUCACUGGAAUAACUAGUGAAUCUCAUAUUAAAAACCGCAUGCAUAUAAUGUCCUGAUAGGGUAAAAAUCAGUGAAAAUGUUAUCAUAUGUGUGGAACAUUUGUGUUAUAGAUAUGAAUGAUACCUCAAA